GAUGAACGCUGGCGGCGUGCCUAAUACAUGCAAGUCGAGCGAACGGACGAGAAGCUUGCUUCUCUGAUGUUAGCGGCGGACGGGUGAGUAACACGUGGAUAACCUACCUAUAAGACUGGGAUAACUUCGGGAAACCGGAGCUAAUACCGGAUAAUAUUUUGAACCGCAUGGUUCAAAAGUGAAAGACGGUCUUGCUGUCACUUAUAGCUGGAUCCGCGCUGCAUUAGCUAGUUGGUAAGGUAACGGCUUACCAAGGCAACGAUGCAUAGCCGACCUGAGAGGGUGAUCGGCCGCACUGGAACUGAAACACGGUCCAGACUCCUACGGGAGGCAGCAGUAGGGAAUCUUCCGCAAUGGGCGAAAGCCUGACGGAGCAACGCCGCGUGAGUGAUGAAGGUCUUCGGAUCGUAAAACUCUGUUAUUAGGGAAGAACAUAUGUGUAAGUAACUGUGCACAUCUUGACGGUACCUAAUCAGAAAGCCACGGCUAACUACGUG
This 497-nucleotide ribosomal RNA is filed under the name uncultured bacterium. Its description in RNAcentral is "partial 16S ribosomal RNA". It matches the Rfam family "Bacterial small subunit ribosomal RNA", at positions 28 to 507 of the family's 1533-position model. The record is from RNAcentral.